UACGCCAUCCCAAUUCCACUAAAACUAAGAGCUUUGAACUGAACUAUACCAAAAAACACAUUUUCUGAUCACAAACAAUAUUGUCUUGAAGUAUUUAGAACUUGAGACAAAUUAAUUAAAUUUAGUUUAUUUUGGAGCACCUUUAACUUGAAAAUUUUGUAUAAACACAUAAAAACACAGUAGAAUGUUCUUAUCUCUAAUUUAGAUAAAAAAAAUGUUUUUUAAAAAAACCAACAUUCUGAGUAUAUAAAGGCGAUAUUUAAUAGAAAACGGAUGUUUUAAUAUUGACGGCUUAUAGUCUUAGAAAUAAAUUUUGAAACAACAAAUUUAAAAAUCUAAAAUGAACUUCAAAUACGUUUUCUUGUUCACCUUGGUUUUGGUAUUCCUUGUGGCACCCGGAACUGAGGGUAAAAGUGUUUUCAAGAAAAUCGGACAUGCUUUAGAAAAAGCUGGAAAGAAAACAGCACAAUUUAUUCAUGGAGCUGCUCCAGUUGCAAAAGAUGCUGCAGCAAUUGUCGGAGCUGGUGCAGCUAUAGGUGCAGUUGUUGGAUAAUAAUUGUUGAUGUCGAUGCAUGUAAUGGAAAAAUGUUGUGAAUAAAAGUUUUAACAAAG
Eupeodes corollae is the source of this 612-nucleotide long non-coding RNA. RefSeq lists it as uncharacterized. The record is from RefSeq and is a predicted model, not a curated record. NCBI's taxonomy places the organism in Eukaryota, Metazoa, Arthropoda, Insecta, Diptera, Syrphidae. The transcript is spliced from 2 exons.